AGUGAACGCUGGCGGUAGGCCUAACACAUGCAAGUCGAACGGCAGCACAGUAAGAGCUUGCUCUUACGGGUGGCGAGUGGCGGACGGGUGAGGAUUACAUCGGAAUCUACUUUUUCGUGGGGGAUAACGUAGGGAAACUUACGCUAAUACCGCAUACGACCUACGGGUGAAAGCAGGGGAUCUUCGGACCUUGCGCGAUUGAAUGAGCCGAUGUCGGAUUAGCUAGUUGGCGGGGUAAAGGCCCACCAAGGCGACGAUCCGUAGCCGGUCUGAGAGGAUGAUAAGCCACACUGGAACUGAGACACGGUCCAGACUCCUACGGGAGGCAGCAGUGGGGAAUAUUGGACAAUGGGCGCAAGCCUGAUCCAGCCAUACCGCGUGGGUGAAGAAGGCCUUCGGGUUGUAAAGCCCUUUUGUUGGGAAAGAAAAGCAGCAGGUUAAUACCCCGCUGUUCUGACGGUACCCAAAGAAUAAGCACCGGCUAACUUCGUG
This 492-nucleotide ribosomal RNA is filed under the name uncultured bacterium. RNAcentral describes it as "partial 16S ribosomal RNA". It matches the Rfam family "Bacterial small subunit ribosomal RNA", at positions 29 to 507 of the family's 1533-position model. The record is from RNAcentral.